Molecule: ribosomal RNA, 852 nt
Filed under: Muribacter muris
Lineage: Bacteria; Pseudomonadati; Pseudomonadota; Gammaproteobacteria; Pasteurellales; Pasteurellaceae
Description: bacterial SSU rRNA
Rfam family: Bacterial small subunit ribosomal RNA
Source: RNAcentral
UGCAGUCGANCGGUAACAGGAAGAAAGCUUGCUUUCUUUGCUGACGAGUGGCGGACGGGUGAGUAAUGCUUGGGAAUCUGGCUUAUGGAGGGGGAUAACUACUGGAAACGGUAGCUAAUACCGCGUAAUGUCUACGGACUAAAAGGGGCGAAAGCUCUUGCCAUAAGAUGAGCCCAAGUGGGAUUAGGUAGUUGGUGAGGUAACGGCUCACCAAGCCGUCGAUCUCUAGCUGGUCUGAGAGGAUGACCAGCCACACUGGAACUGAGACACGGUCCAGACUCCUACGGGAGGCAGCAGUGGGGAAUAUUGCACAAUGGGGGAAACCCUGAUGCAGCCAUGCCGCGUGAAUGAAGAAGGCCUUCGGGUUGUAAAGUUCUUUCGGUGAUGAGGAAGGUGUAAUGGUUAAUACCCAUUACAAUUGACGUUAGUCACAGAAGAAGCACCGGCUAACUCCGUGCCAGCAGCCGCGGUAAUACGGAGGGUGCAAGCGUUAAUCGGAAUAACUGGGCGUAAAGGGCACGCAGGCGGUUGUUUAAGUGAGGUGUGAAAGCCCCGGGCUCAACCUGGGAAUUGCAUUUCAGACUGGACAACUAGAGUACUUUAGGGAGGGGUAGAAUUCCACGUGUAGCGGUGAAAUGCGUAGAGAUGUGGAGGAAUACCGAAGGCGAAGGCAGCCCCUUGGGAAUGUACUGACGCUCAUGUGCGAAAGCGUGNNGAGCAAACAGGAUUAGAUACCCUGGUAGUCCACGCCGUAAACGCUGUCNAUUUGGGGAUUGGGCUUUGAGCUUGGUGCCCGUANCUAACGUGAUAAAUCGACCGCCUGGGGAGUACGGCCGCNNGGUUAAAACUCAA